GGGGUAAACCUGCGAAACUCGAAUGAACGAACGGAGAGAUUCAUCGUCAUUUCGCGGCGUACGGGCGGGCGCUCGAUGUCCUCGGCCUCGGCCGGGGGCACGUCGCUCGCUCGUCGCGUCCGCGGACGGCGUGCACUUCUCUCUUAGUAUCCACAUGCAUCGCGACCCGUUCGAUGUCGGUCUAAGCGCCGUUCGGGAGCCCCGUGGUCGCCGGCGACGGUGGCUGUGGGACCGGACGGACGCCGACCGGCCGUCGGACGGUAGUUACAAUGAAGCGCGCACGCGUUUACGCGUCCGGCCCGACGCAAGUCAACGUCGUAUCCCGCGCUCCGACCGAGUUCGGACGUGGGUGCGGCGCGUCUGUCGUCGCUGCCGUGGUCUCGGACUGUGCGCGUCUCAGUCAGCGAUGAUUCAGUUUCGGGCACUCGCAGGACCCGUCUUGAAACACGGACCAAGGAGUCUAGCAUGUAUGCGAGUCAUUGAGUACAUUUUGACAAAACUGAAAGGCGUAACGAAAGUGAAGGCGUGCGCUCGUCGCGCGCUCAGGGAGGAUGGAGCGUCGAUCUCGGUCGAUCUCUCGCACUCCCGAGGCGUCUCGUUUCCAAUCCGUGAAUGCAGGCGCGCUC
This 626-nucleotide ribosomal RNA is filed under the name Micromelalopha dorsimacula. RNAcentral describes it as "eukaryotic LSU rRNA". The record is from RNAcentral. Lineage: Eukaryota; Metazoa; Arthropoda; Insecta; Lepidoptera; Notodontidae.